This 74-nucleotide transfer RNA is filed under the name Perkinsus olseni. It matches the Rfam family "tRNA". From Rfam's summary of the family: Transfer RNA (tRNA) molecules are approximately 80 nucleotides in length. Their secondary structure includes four short double-helical elements and three loops (D, anti-codon, and T loops). Further hydrogen bonds mediate the characteristic L-shaped molecular structure. tRNAs have two regions of fundamental functional importance: the anti-codon, which is responsible for specific mRNA codon recognition, and the 3' end, to which the tRNAs corresponding amino acid is attached (by aminoacyl-tRNA synthetases). tRNAs cope with the degeneracy of the genetic code in two manners: having more than one tRNA (with a specific anti-codon) for a particular amino acid; and 'wobble' base-pairing, i.e. permitting non-standard base-pairing at the 3rd anti-codon position. Lineage: Eukaryota; Perkinsozoa; Perkinsida; Perkinsidae. The record is from Rfam by way of RNAcentral.
GGUCGUUUAGCUCAGGAGGUUCCCGCUGAGUGCUAAUAACGCGAGGGUCGCAGGUUCGAGCCCUGCAUCGACCA